GUGCCAGCCGCCGCGGUAAUACGUAGGUGGCAAGCGUUGUCCGGAUUUAUUGGGCGUAAAGCGCGCGCAGGCGGCAGGUUAAGUCUGAUGUGAAAUCUCCCGGCUCAACUGGGAGGGGUCAUCGGAUACUGGCCAGCUUGAGGAAGGUAGAGGAGAGCAGAAUUCCCGGUGUAGUGGUGGAAUGCGUAGAUAUCGGGAGGAAUACCAGCGGCGAAGGCGGCUCUCUGGGCCUUUCCUGACGCUGAGGCGCGAAAGCGUGGGGAGCAAACCGGAUUAGAUACCCUUGUAGUCC
Molecule: ribosomal RNA, 292 nt
Filed under: uncultured bacterium
Lineage: Bacteria
Description: partial 16S ribosomal RNA
Rfam family: Bacterial small subunit ribosomal RNA
Source: RNAcentral